Paramuricea clavata is the source of this 117-nucleotide non-coding RNA. NCBI's taxonomy places the organism in Eukaryota, Metazoa, Cnidaria, Anthozoa, Malacalcyonacea, Plexauridae. The record is from the annotation of a GenBank genome assembly.
AAUUCUAAGUUCUGAAGGAUUUGUAAGAAAUGUUUGAGGGAACUACUGAGUCACUGUUAAACACCGAGUGAGUUCCCUAAAACAUUUCUUACAAAUCCUUCAAAACUUAGAAUUUAC